CCUGUCUGCAUCCCCUGCCGCCUCCCCAACGCCCCCACCAACCAUAGCGCACUCACCCGCAUCCUGUCCCUGCCUGUGUCCCUGUUCCUGCGUCACCGCUGCCAUCGCUGAUUAACUUUCUGUUUGCCUGCGUUAUCUGGACCAGGGCUCUGCCUUUCCAAAGAGCUCACACGUAAACGGAGAAGCAAAUAGUUAUCUAGGGUGGUGACAGACAUUGCUGAGAAGAAAAUGGAGCAGGACAAUGGAGUGGAGAGUGAUACAGAGAGGAAAAGAGAAAUGCAGGGCACCAUGGGGCUAGAUGAGGCGAUGACCCCCGAGUUUCACAGGAGGAGGUGGACCUGCGUGCAGGGAGGUGAAGCCCACACAGGAAGCACCGCUAGAGUGGGCACCGGGCACUGCUUUGGCGACCUUUGUGUCCCUGCCUUUUGCUGUGUUGCCCCAUAGCCUCCUUGCUUGCAAAGGGUGUGAGGCACUUGUGUCCAGAAGGCAGUGAGGACAACGAGGGACCGAGCAGAAUGCAAGGAGCCCCUUUGUGUUCCCACCUCAAGGCUCCCUUCCCACGAGGUCCCCCAGUGCUCACCGGGGCUUCUCCAGUGACAGCCGAGGACUACCGGGGUCAGGCAUGGCUGCUUUAAGGGACACUGCGCCAGAAAAAGGGAGUGAGGUGGAAGAAUUCCUUUUCUUCCUUUGCGUUGUUGAAGAGUGAAAGCACAGGUCUCAUUUUCUAUGCAAGUCCACCAGAACCAGUGGUGCUGACAAGGAGCUGACCCUUCACGGCCAUGCUGGGUCCAGUUCCCUCCAAGGGACCAUCGCCAUCCUGGCAAGGCUCGGGGGCUGGGAUGGGGAGGCCCUGCUCCGGGUCCCUGGGAGACAGACUCCUUCCCACACCCACACCCAGACUCCUCCUCCGAUACCUCCCUCACCGCAUCCCCAUUGCGGGUCCCUGGGGCCCAGCAACUUUGGGGGCUGCUUCCUCUUGCCUGGCCCUGGCAGCUUUAUUUCAAACUGAGGCGCGAUUACAGAUCCAGUUCUUUUUUCCUUUUCCUUUUCAAUAAAGCUGUUUUGUGUCUCCACCGCCCCCCUCUGCUGCAUUCCUCCCAUCUGAGUCGUCCCCUUGCCCCUCCUGUAG
Molecule: long non-coding RNA, 1129 nt
Filed under: Heterocephalus glaber (naked mole-rat)
Lineage: Eukaryota; Metazoa; Chordata; Mammalia; Rodentia; Bathyergidae
Description: lncRNA (ENSHGLG00000049429.1)
Source: RNAcentral